Castor canadensis (American beaver) is the source of this 1371-nucleotide non-coding RNA. The record is from RefSeq and is a predicted model, not a curated record. Lineage: Eukaryota; Metazoa; Chordata; Mammalia; Rodentia; Castoridae.
AUGGAGAAGACCGAGCUGGUCCAGAAGGCCAAGCUGGCCGAACAGGCCGGCGCUACGACGACAUGGCCACCUGCAUGAAGGCUGUGACCGAGCAGGGCGCCGAGCUGUCCAACGAGGAGCGCAACCUGCUGUCGGUAGCUACAAGAACGUGGUCGGGGGGCCGCCGCUCCGCCUGGAGGGUCAUCUCCAGCAUCGAGCAGAAAACCGACACCUCGGACAAGAAGCUGCAGCUGAUAAAGGACUAUUCGGAGAAAGUGGAGUCGGAGCUGAGGUCUGUAUUUAAUAGCCAAUGCAACUACUCCAGAGAGUAAGGUCUUCUAUCUGAAAAUGAAGGGAGAUUAUUUCCGGUACCUUGUUGAAGUUGCAUGUGGUGAUGAUCGAAAACAAACUAUAGAUAAUUCCCAAGGAGCUUACCAAGAGGCAUUUGAUAUAAGCAAGAAAGAGAUGCAACCCACACACCCAAUCUGCCUGGGGCUGGCUCUUAACUUUUCUGUAUUUUACCAUGAGAUCCUUAAUAACCCAGAGCUUGCCUGCACACUGGCUAAAACGGCUUUUGAUGAGCCCAUUGCAGAACUUGAUACACUGAAUGAAGACUCCUACAAAGACAGCACCCUCAUCAUGCAGCUGCUUAGAGACAAUUUAACAUUAUGGACAUCAGACAGCACAGGAGAAGAAUGUGAUGCGGCAGAAGGGGCUGAAAACUAAACUGCAAACAGGGUGUCGUCCUUCUUCCCUUCAAGAAACCUUUUUACACAUCUCCAUUCCUAUUCCACUUGGAUUUCCCGUAGCAAAGAAACCCAUUCAUGUGUAUGGAAUCAACUGUUUAUAGUCUUUUCACACUGCAGCUUUGGGAAAACUCCAUUCCUUGAUUUGUGUUUGGCUUGGCCUUCCUGGUGUGCAGUUACUGCUGUAGAAAAGUAUUAAUAGCUUCAUUUCAUAUACACAUAAGUAACUUCCAGACACUUAUGUAGAGGCUAAAAAUGCAUCUGGUAUAAGUAAUCUGAACCAGUUCUACAAGUGACUGUGUUUUGUAUUACUGUGAAGAUAUGAAAAGUAGUUAAUUACAAUUUAAAGAGUGUUCUACAUUACCUUCUUAAUUUCUACAUUCCCUCCUUUAUUCUUUGGGGGUUUCCUUUCAGAAAGCGACUUUUCCAUGCUCUUACUGUAUUCCUUUUUAGUAGGAAUCCAGAUGUAUUAGACUGAAUGGGAAAGUACUUGAUGUUUCUGGGCUGGGGUCACAAAUUGAAAUGCCUCCUGUUUUCACAUAUUAGGAGGUUAUGUCUGUCUGUGACAACAAGGAGUUUCCUAUUCAUUCUUUAUUUGCUGCUGUUUAAGUUGACAACUUCCCUUCCCAAUAAAAAUUCACUUACA